UGGAGCAGCCUGGUAGCUCGUCGGGCUCAUAACCCGAAGGUCGUCGGUUCAAAUCCGGCCCCCGCAACCA
RNAcentral lists this transfer RNA (70 nucleotides) under Escherichia coli. RNAcentral's name for it is "tRNA-Met". It matches the Rfam family "tRNA". From Rfam's summary of the family: Transfer RNA (tRNA) molecules are approximately 80 nucleotides in length. Their secondary structure includes four short double-helical elements and three loops (D, anti-codon, and T loops). The record is from RNAcentral. RNAcentral also lists the same sequence under 9 other names. Lineage: Bacteria; Pseudomonadati; Pseudomonadota; Gammaproteobacteria; Enterobacterales; Enterobacteriaceae.